UGCGCUGAAGAUAGAAGUGCCUAAAAUAUAGUAAUUGCUCAAUAAAUGUUAUUAUUGUUUUUAUAUUUUAGUUCAAACAACCAUCCUAUGAGUACAGUUCAUUUUUUUUUUUUUUUCAGUUCACAGAUGUAAAAACUAAGGAUUUAGGAGGUUAAGGACUUUCCUGUGAUUCCCCAGGUAAUAAGUGACAAAUUAGAAUUUCAGCCCAGGUCUGUUUGAUUCCAGAGGCCAAAUUGUUAACCAUUAUGUUGUAUUCUCUACUAUAGUUAGAGAUCUAAGAAGCUCACCAAAUAAAUCGAUGACAACUCUGGAUUAUUUUUGAGCUAGGUUCAUAGAACUAAAGCCUUAGAGGCCUUAUCAAGGCACACCUGUUUUUUGUUCUCUAGCCAUUCAGUUAGUCAUAAAAAAAGUCAAGGUAUUAAAUACUUGGACUUGCAAGGCAUAAUACUACUUUUCAGGUUAACACCUUUGAUCUAGAUUCACAGAUUUUUGUUUUUGUUCUCCUUAAACUCCAGGCCAAGAAAAACAACAGAGGAUCUUUGGAAGGAGACAGAAACCAACUGAAACAAGGCUCCAUUCUGGAGAUUUUCUAUGCUCCCAAAUCCCUCCAUCACAAAGGUCAUGAUCUCGAAGUUUGCAGAAUCUAACCACUGCUAGGAAUGAAGCCUGCUUGGGAUUCUCUCCCCCUCACUCUCUGUCCCCCCUCUCCCCCCGCUUGCAUGCUGGAGCUUGCCCUCUCUCUC
Acinonyx jubatus (cheetah) is the source of this 743-nucleotide long non-coding RNA. RefSeq lists it as uncharacterized. The record is from RefSeq and is a predicted model, not a curated record. NCBI's taxonomy places the organism in Eukaryota, Metazoa, Chordata, Mammalia, Carnivora, Felidae. The transcript is spliced from 2 exons.